RNAcentral lists this ribosomal RNA (776 nucleotides) under uncultured Lachnospiraceae bacterium. Its description in RNAcentral is "bacterial SSU rRNA". It matches the Rfam family "Bacterial small subunit ribosomal RNA", at positions 73 to 859 of the family's 1533-position model. The record is from RNAcentral. Lineage: Bacteria; Bacillati; Bacillota; Clostridia; Lachnospirales; Lachnospiraceae.
UGAGUCUUCGGACAAAUGAAAUAUAAACUUAGUGGCGGACGGGUGAGUAACGUGUGGGUAACCUACCCUAUACAGGAGGAUAACAGUAAGAAAUUAUUGCUAAAACUGCAUAAGAUUACGAGUUCGCAUGAACAAGUGAUAAAAACUUUAGUGGUAUAGGAUGGGCCCGCAUCUGAUUAGGUAGUUGGUGGAGUAAAAGCCUACCAAGCCGACGAUCAGUAGCCGAUCUGAGAGGAUGACCGGCCACAUUGGGACUGAGACACGGCCCAAACUCCUACGGGAGGCAGCAGUGGGGAAUAUUGGACAAUGGGGGAAACCCUGAUCCAGCGACGCCGCGUGAGUGAAGAAGUAUUUCGGUAUGUAAAGCUCUAUCAGCAGGGAAGAAAAUGACGGUACCUGACUAAGAAGCCCCGGCUAACUACGUGCCAGCAGCCGCGGUAAUACGUAGGGGGCAAGCGUUAUCCGGAUUUACUGGGUGUAAAGGGAGCGUAGACGGCGAUGUAAGUCUGAAGUGAGAGCCCACGGCUCAACUGUGGGACUGCUUUGGAAACUAUGUAGCUAGAGUAUCGGAGGGGCAAGCGGAAUUCCUAGUGUAGCGGUGAAAUGCGUAGAUAUUAGGAGGAACACCGGAGGCGAAGGCGGCUUGCUGGACGAAGACUGACGUUGAGGCUCGAAGGCGUGGGGAGCAAACAGGAUUAGAUACCCUGGUAGUCCACGCAGUAAACGAUGAAUACUAGAUGUCGGAGAGGUUACUUUUCGGUGUCGUCGCAAACGCA